GUAUUCUAUGGGGUGCAAGCUUUAAAUGCAACUUAAGUACUAAUUUAUUUUGUCAGACCCCCAUGUAAAUGGUGCAUUACUUGCUAGCCAACAUGAAUGUUAUAUA
Molecule: non-coding RNA, 106 nt
Filed under: Chlorocebus sabaeus (green monkey)
Lineage: Eukaryota; Metazoa; Chordata; Mammalia; Primates; Cercopithecidae
Description: Mitochondrial DNA control region secondary structure A
Rfam family: Mitochondrial DNA control region secondary structure A
Source: Rfam by way of RNAcentral